RNAcentral lists this unclassified non-coding RNA (334 nucleotides) under soil metagenome. RNAcentral's name for it is "partial contains 5.8S ribosomal RNA, internal transcribed spacer 2, and large subunit ribosomal RNA". The stretch from base 5 to 119 matches the Rfam family "5.8S ribosomal RNA", at positions 40 to 154 of the family's 154-position model. The record is from RNAcentral.
GAUGAGAACGUAGCGAAAUGCGAUAAGUAAUGUGAAUUGCAGAAUUCAGUGAAUCAUCGAAUCUUUGAACGCACAUUGCGCCCGCCAGUAUUCUGGCGGGCAUGCCUGUUCGAGCGUCAUUUCAACCAUCAAGCCCCCGGCUUGUGUUGGGGACCUGCGGCUGCCGCAGGCCCUGAAAACCAGUGGCGGGCUCGCUAGUCACUCCGAGCGUAGUAAUACAUCUCGCUCAGGGCGUGCUGCGGGUUCCGGCCGUUAAAAAGCCUUAUUUACCCAAGGUUGACCUCGGAUCAGGUAGGAAGACCCGCUGAACUUAAGCAUAUCAAUAAGCGGAAGA